UACGUAGGGGGCAAGCGUUGUCCGGAAUUAUUGGGCGUAAAGAGCUCGUAGGCGGUCUGUCGCGUCUGCUGUGAAAUCCCGGGGCUCAACUCCGGGCUUGCAGUGGAUACGGGCAGACUAGAGUUCGGUAGGGGAGACUGGAAUUCCUGGUGUAGCGGUGAAAUGCGCAGAUAUCAGGAGGAACACCGGUGGCGAAGGCGGGUCUCUGGGCCGAUACUGACGCUGAGGAGCGAAAGCGUGGGGAGCGAACAGG
This 253-nucleotide ribosomal RNA is filed under the name uncultured bacterium. RNAcentral's name for it is "partial 16S ribosomal RNA". It matches the Rfam family "Bacterial small subunit ribosomal RNA", at positions 524 to 776 of the family's 1533-position model. The record is from RNAcentral.